RNAcentral lists this ribosomal RNA (252 nucleotides) under uncultured bacterium. RNAcentral's name for it is "partial 16S ribosomal RNA". It matches the Rfam family "Bacterial small subunit ribosomal RNA", at positions 524 to 776 of the family's 1533-position model. The record is from RNAcentral.
UACGUAGGGGGCAAGCGUUGUCCGGAAUUAUUGGGCGUAAAGCGCGCGCAGGCGGCUUUGUAAGUUUGGUGUUUAAUCUCAGAGCUCAACUCUGAUUCGCAUCGAAAACUGCAAGGCUUGAGUACAGAAGAGGAAAGUGGAAUUCCACGUGUAGCGGUGAAAUGCGUAGAUAUGACUCGGAAGGCCAACGGCGAAGGCGGGUAACUGGCACGCAACUGACACUGAGGCACGAAAGCGUGGGGAGCAAACAGG